Molecule: ribosomal RNA, 908 nt
Filed under: uncultured bacterium
Lineage: Bacteria
Description: bacterial SSU rRNA
Rfam family: Bacterial small subunit ribosomal RNA
Source: RNAcentral
ACGCUGGCGGCGUGCCUAAUACAUGCAAGUCGAACGAGAGCGACCGGUGCUUGCACUGGUCAAUCUAGUGGCGAACGGGUGAGUAACACGUGGGAACCUGCCCAUCAGAGGGGGAUAACAUUCGGAAACGGAUGCUAAAACCGCAUAGGUCCUUUAACCGCAUGGUUGAAGGAGGAAAAGAGGCGCAAGCUUCUGCUGAUGGAUGGACCCGCGGUGCAUUAGCUAGUUGGUGAGGUAACGGCUCACCAAGGCCGUGAUGCAUAGCCGACCUGAGAGGGUGAUCGGCCACAUUGGGACUGAGACACGGCCCAAACUCCUACGGGAGGCAGCAGUAGGGAAUCUUCCGCAAUGGACGCAAGUCUGACGGAGCAACGCCGCGUGAGUGAAGAAGGUUUUCGGAUCGUAAAACUCUGUUGUUAGAGAAGAACAAGUGCUAGAGUAACUGUUAGCGCCUUGACGGUAUCUAACCAGAAAGCCACGGCUAACUACGUGCCAGCAGCCGCGGUAAUACGUAGGUGGCAAGCGUUGUCCGGAUUUAUUGGGCGUAAAGCGAGCGCAGGCGGUUCCUUAAGUCUGAUGUGAAAGCCCCCGGCUCAACCGGGGAGGGUCAUUGGAAACUGGGGAACUUGAGUGCAGAAGAGGAGAGUGGAAUUCCAUGUGUAGCGGUGAAAUGCGUAGAUAUAUGGAGGAACACCAGUGGCGAAGGCGACUCUCUGGUCUGUAACUGACGCUGAGGCUCGAAAGCGUGGGUAGCAAACAGGAUUAGAUACCCUGGUAGUCCACGCCGUAAACGAUGAGUGCUAAGUGUUGGAGGGUUUCCGCCCUUCAGUGCUGCAGUUAACGCAUUAAGCACUCCGCCUGGGGAGUACGACCGCAAGGUUGAAACUCAAAGGAAUUGACGGGGACCC